Molecule: ribosomal RNA, 440 nt
Filed under: uncultured bacterium
Lineage: Bacteria
Description: partial 16S ribosomal RNA
Rfam family: Bacterial small subunit ribosomal RNA
Source: RNAcentral
CUACGGGGUGCUGCAGUGGGGAAUAUUGCAUAAUGGGCGCAAGCCUGAUGCAGCAACGCCGCGUGAACGAAGAAGGUUUUCGGAUCGUAAAGUUCUUUUCUUGGGGAAGAAACCAUGACGGUACCCAAGGAAUAAGCACCGGCUAACUACGUGCCAGCAGCCGCGGUAAUACGUAGGGUGCAAGCGUUAUCCGGAAUCACUGGGCGUAAAGGGUGCGUAGGCGGUUUUGCAAGUCAGAAGUGAAAGGCAAUGGCUCAACCAUUGUAAGCUUUUGAAACUGUAAGACUUGAAUGCAGGAGAGGUAAGUGGAAUUCCUAGUGUAGCGGUGAAAUGCGUAGAUAUUAGGAGGAACACCAGUGGCGAAGGCGACUUACUGGACUGUUAUUGACGCUGAGGCACGAAAGCGUGGGGAGCGAACAGGAUUAGAUACCCCCGUAGUC